Molecule: long non-coding RNA, 405 nt
Organism: Mytilus trossulus (common blue mussel)
Lineage: Eukaryota; Metazoa; Mollusca; Bivalvia; Mytilida; Mytilidae
Exons: 3
Source: RefSeq, a predicted model, not a curated record
CUUCGGUCAAACCCUUAGUGUAUCCCUCUGCAAAGUUCCCAACAACCCAAUGUCAAAUGUGAAAACACCCGUUCAGCUAUACAAAUACCUACUUAGGCAAGUUAGGCUUCUGCCUAAAAAUUCACAGGACUACUACAACAAUUAUGUGAGACAGGGUUACAAUAGCCAUGCAGAUGAGACGGAUCCAGAACGAAUCCAACAAAUUAUUGCAAAAGCGAUGGAAGAUAGUAAAUGGUUGGUGAAUAAAUAUACAAAGUAACACCAAAGAAAAUAUUGACUACCAGCAACUCAAAACAACUAGAGAGACAUUUGAAGUUACCUUGUAUCUGCAUUCAUCAUGAUCAGUGUGUUUUAAAUGAUGAUUGAACAUUUCGUACGACGAGCUCAGAGAUGUUUAUAAAGUUU